Meloidogyne enterolobii is the source of this 1798-nucleotide non-coding RNA. The record is from the annotation of a GenBank genome assembly. NCBI's taxonomy places the organism in Eukaryota, Metazoa, Nematoda, Chromadorea, Rhabditida, Meloidogynidae.
AAAGAUAUCUGGUUGAUCCUGCCUGAACUGAUGUGUUCAUUUCAAAGAUUAAGCCAUGCAUGUAUAAGUUUAAUCGUUUUAACGAGAAACCGCGAACGGCUCAUUACAAUGGCCAUGAUUUACUUGAUCUUGAUUAUCUAAAUGGAUAACUGUGGAAAAGCUAGAGCUAAUACAUGCACCAGAGCUUUGUCCUCUCGGAAAAGCGCAUUUAUUAGAACAAAACCACGCGGCUUCGGCUGCUUCUUGUUGACUCAGAAUAACUAAGCUGACCGCAUGGCCUUGUGCCGGCGGCGUGUCUUUCAAGCGUCCACUUUAUCAACUUGACGGGAGCAUAAUCGACUCCCGUGGUGGUGACGGAUAACGGAGGAUCAGGGUUCGACUCCGGAGAAGGGGCCUGAGAAAUGGCCACUACGUCUAAGGAUGGCAGCAGGCGCGCAAAUUACCCACUCUCGGCUCGAGGAGGUAGUGACGAGAAAUAACGAAACUGUUCUCUUUGAGGCCGGUCAUCGGAAUGGGUACAAUUUAAACCCUUUAACGAGUAUCAAGCAGAGGGCAAGUCUGGUGCCAGCAGCCGCGGUAAUUCCAGCUCUGCUAAUACAUAGAAUUAUUGCUGCGGUUAAAAAGCUCGUAGUUGGAUUCGUAUCGGUACCUUGGAACCCUUCGGGUGUUUCUGGGUGUUAUCGAUUUAUCGUAAUGUUCGGUUUUGAGUCCUUAACAGGAUUUUUAACAGUCAUUGCAAGUUUACUUUGAACAAAUCAGAGUGCUUCAAACAGGCGUUUUCGCUUGAAUGAUCGUGCAUGGAAUAAUAGAAAACGAUUUCGGUUCAGUUUUAUUGGUUUUACGGACUGAGAUAAUGGUUAACAGAGACAAACGGGGGCAUUUGUAUGGCCCCGUGAGAGGUGAAAUUCUUGGACCGUGGCCAGACAAACUACAGCGAAAGCAUUUGCCAAGAAUGUCUUCAUUAAUCAAGAACGAAAGUCAGAGGUUCGAAGGCGAUCAGAUACCGCCCUAGUUCUGACCGUAAACGAUGCCAACUAGCGAUCCGCUGAUGGAAAUUAUAUUGCCUUGGUGGGGAGCUUCCCGGAAACGAAAGUCUUCCGGUUCCGGGGGAAGUAUGGUUGCAAAGCUGAAACUUAAAGGAAUUGACGGAAGGGCACCACCAGGAGUGGAGCCUGCGGCUUAAUUUGACUCAACACGGGGAAACUCACCCGGCCCGGACACUGUGAGGAUUGACAGAUUGAUAGCUUUUUCAUGAUUCAGUGGAUGGUGGUGCAUGGCCGUUCUUAGUUCGUGGAGUGAUUUGUCUGGUUUAUUCCGAUAACGAGCGAGACUCUAACCUACUAAAUAGUUGGUACAUACUCUUUGUGUAUACAGCUUCUUAGAGGGAUUUGCGGCGUUCAGCCGAAAGAAAUUGAGCAAUAACAGGUCUGUGAUGCCCUUAGAUGUCCGGGGCUGCACGCGCGCUACACUGGCAAAAUCAACGUGCUUGUCCUACCCUGAAAGGGGCGGGUAAACCAUUGAAAAUUUGCCGUGAUUGGGAUCGGAAAUUGCAAUUAUUUUCCGUGAACGAGGAAUUCCAAGUAAGUGCGAGUCAUCAGCUCGCGUUGAUUACGUCCCUGCCCUUUGUACACACCGCCCGUCGCUGCCCGGGACUGAGCCAUUUCGAGAAAUUUGGGGACCGUUGAUUUAAUUUAUCUAAAUUAUUUUGAUGGAAACCAAUUUAAUCGCAGUGGCUUCAACCGGGCAAAAGUCGUAACAAGGUAGCUGUAGGUGAACCUGCUGCUGGAUCAUUACUUUA